This 1510-nucleotide ribosomal RNA is filed under the name Yersinia ruckeri. RNAcentral's name for it is "partial 23S ribosomal RNA". It matches the Rfam family "Bacterial large subunit ribosomal RNA", at positions 1 to 1554 of the family's 2925-position model. The record is from RNAcentral. Lineage: Bacteria; Pseudomonadati; Pseudomonadota; Gammaproteobacteria; Enterobacterales; Yersiniaceae.
GGUUAAGCGACUAAGCGUACACGGUGGAUGCCUAGGCAGUCAGAGGCGAUGAAGGGCGUGCUAAUCUGCGAAAAGCGUCGGUAAGCUGAUAUGAAGCGUAAUAACCGACGAUACCCGAAUGGGGAAACCCAGUGCAAUUCGUUGCACUAUUGCAUGGUGAAUACAUAGCCAUGCAAGGCGAACCGGGGGAACUGAAACAUCUAAGUACCCCGAGGAAAAGAAAUCAACCGAGAUUCCCCCAGUAGCGGCGAGCGAACGGGGAAGAGCCCAGAGUCUGAAUCAGUUGGUGUGUUAGUGGAAGCGUCUGGAAAGUCGCACGGUACAGGGUGAUAGUCCCGUACACAAAAAUACACUGGCUGUGAACUCGAUGAGUAGGGCGGGACACGUGACAUCCUGUCUGAAUAUGGGGGGACCAUCCUCCAAGGCUAAAUACUCCUGACUGACCGAUAGUGAACCAGUACCGUGAGGGAAAGGCGAAAAGAACCCCGGCGAGGGGAGUGAAAUAGAACCUGAAACCGUGUACGUACAAGCAGUGGGAGCACCUUCGUGGUGUGACUGCGUACCUUUUGUAUAAUGGGUCAGCGACUUAUAUUUUGUAGCAAGGUUAACCGAAUAGGGGAGCCGUAGGGAAACCGAGUCUUAACUGGGCGUCUAGUUGCAAGGUAUAGACCCGAAACCCGGUGAUCUAGCCAUGGGCAGGUUGAAGGUUGGGUAACACUAACUGGAGGACCGAACCGACUAAUGUUGAAAAAUUAGCGGAUGACUUGUGGCUGGGGGUGAAAGGCCAAUCAAACCGGGAGAUAGCUGGUUCUCCCCGAAAGCUAUUUAGGUAGCGCCUCGUGAACUCAUCUUCGGGGGUAGAGCACUGUUUCGGCUAGGGGUCCAUCCCGGAUUACCAAACCGAUGCAAACUCCGAAUACCGAAGAAUGUUAUCACGGGAGACACACGGCGGGUGCUAACGUCCGUCGUGAAGAGGGAAACAACCCAGACCGCCAGCUAAGGUCCCAAAGUCAUGGUUAAGUGGGAAACGAUGUGGGAAGGCAUAGACAGCCAGGAUGUUGGCUUAGAAGCAGCCAUCAUUUAAAGAAAGCGUAAUAGCUCACUGGUCGAGUCGGCCUGCGCGGAAGAUGUAACGGGGCUAAACCAUGCACCGAAGCUGCGGCAGCGACGCUUAGGCGUUGUUGGGUAGGGGAGCGUUCUGUAAGCCGUUGAAGGUGGCCUGUGAGGGCUGCUGGAGGUAUCAGAAGUGCGAAUGCUGACAUAAGUAACGAUAAUGCGGGUGAAAAACCCGCACGCCGGAAGACCAAGGGUUCCUGUCCAACGUUAAUCGGGGCAGGGUGAGUCGACCCCUAAGGCGAGGCUGAAAAGCGUAGUCGAUGGGAAACAGGUUAAUAUUCCUGUACUGGGUGUGACUGCGAAGGGGGGACGGAGAAGGCUAGGCUAGCCGGGCGACGGUUGUCCCGGUUUAAGCAUGUAGGCGGAGCGACUUGGUAAAUCCGGUUGCUUAUCA